Molecule: non-coding RNA, 1051 nt
Organism: Poecilia reticulata (guppy)
Lineage: Eukaryota; Metazoa; Chordata; Actinopteri; Cyprinodontiformes; Poeciliidae
Source: RefSeq, a predicted model, not a curated record
CCCUCCCGGUGCGCUUUAGUCCGGAAACAGCUUUGUUUGAACAUCUGAACCGGGAAAAUGUUUGACACUGAAAAUCACAAGCUAGGAUGAAUAUGACAACUGAGAGAGGAACCCCGCGUGUGCACCCACGAGGAAACGCGCCAGUUUGUGCAGAAACCAAAAGAAGACAGAGGACCAGCUAAGGGGAUUAUUAUUUUUGUCAAAGUCCAUCACCAGCAAGAUGAUGUGGAGAAGGUAGAGCGGCUCCCAAAAGUCUACCAGGCAACGACAGAUUGAGAAGAUGGUGUUUUCAAGUUUGAAGAAACUUUGGUUCAGUGGGGCGGAUAGUUGAAACCAGAGAGUUGUGGGUUUGAAUCUAGGCUCCUCAUCAGCCGCAUGCUGAACUCCACUUUACCCUGCACACGAUGCCAGUAUGUGAAACAAGCCUUGUGCCGUAUUGUGAGGAGGUGGAAGAGAAAGUAGUGCUGUCUGUGAGAAGAAGGUCAGAUGGAGGAAGGAGGUCAGAGGUGAAAAUAACAGAAAGGUGUUUCCCAUCAAAGGCCUGGCUGCAGCAGAGAGACGCAGCUGUUUGUCUCAUCAUAAAUACUGAAUGUCUAAUGAAGUUGGUAACAUAAUCUCAAGAUGCCUGUUUCUAAAAGUUUUGAAUGUUUUAACAAAAAGUUUGCAAUUUCUUUUUUGAAAUCUUUGUUUUGCAUUUUUUUUAGACUUUUAAGUAGAAAAGGCUGAACUGUUCAUCACUCUUUAAAAUAUGUUUUCACCUGCUCAUUUUAUUCGUAACUUCGAUCCAAUAAUGUACAUUCCUUGAAUACAUUCAAGUAAAAGUCGUGGUUUGUAUUUAAAUAGGCAGUUUUCAAAGGUUGGAAUAAUAUUUGCAAAUGUUUGUGCAGGAAUAAGUUACCCAAGUCUAUAGAUACAUCCUCCUGUUUAAUGCACAUUUAACUCUGAAAAUCAUUAUAUAUGAACACCUUUCUGCUAAAUUUAAUUAAUUAUUUUAGCAUGUACUUGAUAUAUAAAAAUAUUUAUUGAUAAAUUGCCAAUAAAUUCAGGUUUC